CACCUCAUUGCUUAACUUUCAAUUCUUCACCCUGUUCUUCAGGCAGGCUCCUGACUUGCUAUUUUUUCAAUCCGUUAACUUUCAUCUUUUCACCUUAUUGCUUUGUUUUCAACUUCUUCACCUUGUUGCUUGACUUUUAACUUCUUCGCUUUGUUGCUUGGAUUUCCAUUUAUUCGCCCUGUUCUUCAGGCAGGCUCCUGAAAUCACAUCAAAACUAAAAAAAAAUUAUCCCAAAUAAAGAUUAUUACAAAGAGAAAUUUCGGUUGCCAGAAAAGAAAAGUUCCAAAAUAGAUAUUAAAUUUCCCCAGUUUACCAUCAGAAGACUUUUGAGAAAGUCAGAUCAUACCUACUUGCAUGUUGCAAUAACGAAUCAAGACUCUGACCAAGAAAUGCAUCUUUUGAGAGUAAAAUUGAAUGACCAAGACUAGGAAUUGUGUCUCCUAAGAAUUUAAAUGAGGAAUUCUGACUAGAAAGUGCGUCUUCUAGAGAUAGAAGUUAAAUUAAAAAGUAUGUCACCUAACAAAUGAAAACUAACAAGAAAGUGCAUCUCAUAAAGAUUAAGUUCAAUGACUCGACUAAAAAGUGCAUUUUCUAGAAAUCAAGGAGAAUGAAUGACUCGACUAAAAAGGUAUGCCUUAUAGGAAUCAAGGGGAAUAACUCGACUAAAAGGUACGUCUUAUAGGAAUCCAGGGAAAUGACUCGACUAAAAGUACUCCUUGUAGGAAUCAAGGGGGAUGACUCGACUAAAAGAUACGUCUUAUAGGAGUCAAAAGGAGAUGACUCGAAAUGAGGGUAGGGUCAAUAGGAAAGGUGAGAAGGGAGUCGACUAAAAGAUACGUCUUAUAGGAGUCAAAAGGAGAUGACUCGACUAAAAGGUACGUCUUAUAGGAAUCCAGGGAAAUGACUCGACUAAAAGUACUCCUUGUAGGAAUCAAGGGGGAUGACUCGACUAAAAGGUACGUCUUCUAGGGGUCAAGGAGGAUGACUCGACUAAAAGGUACGUCUUAUAGGAAUCAAAGGGGAUGGACUCGACUAAAAGGUACGUCUUAUAGGAAUCAAGGGGGAUGACUCGACUAAAAGGUACGUCUUAUAGGAAUCAAGGGGGAUGACUCGACUAAAAGGUAUGCCUUAUAGGAAUCAAAGAGAGAUGACUCAACUAAAAGGUACGUCUUAUAGGAAUCCAAGGAAAUGACUCGACUAAAAGGUACGCCUUGAAGGAAUCAAGGAGAAUGACUCAACUAUAAGGUGUGUCUGAUAGGAAUCAAAGGAAUUGACUCGACUAAAAGGUACAUCUUCUAGGGGUCAAGGAGAAUGACUCAACUAAAAGGUACGUCAUAUAGGAAUCAAGGGAGAUGACUCGACUAAAAGAUACGUCUUACUAGGAAUCAAGGGAGAUGACUCGACUAAAAGGUACGUCUUCUAGGUGCCAAAGGGAAUGACUCGACUAAAAGGUACGUCUUAUAGGAAUCAAAGGGAGUGACUCAACUAAAAGGUACGUCUUAUAAGAAUCAAAGAAGAUGAUUCGACUAAAAGAUACGUCUUAUAAAAAUCAAAGGGAAUGACUCGACUAAAAGGUACGUCUUAUAGGAAUCAAAGGAGAUGACUCAACUAAAAGUUACGUCUUAUAGAAAUCAAAGGGAAUGACUCUACUAAAAGGCACAUCUUCUAAGGGUCAACGGGAAUGACUCGACUAAAAGGUACGUUUUAUAGGAAUCAAAGGGAAUAACUCGACUAAAUGGUACGUCUUAUAGGAAUCAAAGGAGAUGACUCGACUAAAAGGUACGUCUUAUAGGAAUCAAAGGGAAUGACUCGACUAAAAGGUACGUCUUAUAGGAAUCAAAUGAGAUCACUCGACUAAAAGGUACGUCUUAUAGAAUCAAAGAGAAUGACUCAACUAAAAGGUACGUCUUCUAGGAGUGAAGGUUCAAUUUAAGAAGUGUAUCAUCCAGCAAAUGAAAACUGAAAUCCCUGGACAAGAAAGUGUGUCUCCGAGGGAUAUAAGAUAAUGAAUUUUUACCAUGAUUUAAUUAUCAAACCUAUGCAGCAACU
RNAcentral lists this long non-coding RNA (2049 nucleotides) under Capsicum annuum. RNAcentral describes it as "long non-coding RNA (CANN_LNC018385)". The record is from RNAcentral. Lineage: Eukaryota; Viridiplantae; Streptophyta; Magnoliopsida; Solanales; Solanaceae.